RNAcentral lists this ribosomal RNA (429 nucleotides) under Chloroflexota bacterium. Its description in RNAcentral is "Chloroflexi bacterium partial 16S ribosomal RNA". It matches the Rfam family "Bacterial small subunit ribosomal RNA", at positions 355 to 776 of the family's 1533-position model. Lineage: Bacteria; Bacillati; Chloroflexota. The record is from RNAcentral.
UGGGGAAUAUUGCACAAUGGGCGCAAGCCUGAUGCAGCCAUGCCGCGUGUAUGAAGAAGGCCUUCGGGUUGUAAAGUACUUUCAGCGGGGAGGAAGGGAGUAAAGUUAAUACCUUUGCUCAUUGACGUUACCCGCAGAAGAAGCACCGGCUAACUCCGUGCCAGCAGCCGCGGUAAUACGGAGGGUGCAAGCGUUAAUCGGAAUUACUGGGCGUAAAGCGCACGCAGGCGGUUUGUUAAGUCAGAGGUGAAAUCCUCGGGCUCAACCUGGGAGCUGCAUCUAAUACUGGCAAGCUUGAGUCUCGUAGAGGGGGGUAGAAUUCCAGGUGUAGCGGUGAAAUGCGUAGAGAUCUGGAGGAAUACCGGUGGCGAAGGCGGCCCCCUGGACGAAGACUGACGCUCAGGUGCGAAAGCGUGGGGAGCAAACAGG